RNAcentral lists this ribosomal RNA (491 nucleotides) under uncultured bacterium. RNAcentral's name for it is "partial 16S ribosomal RNA". It matches the Rfam family "Bacterial small subunit ribosomal RNA", at positions 30 to 506 of the family's 1533-position model. The record is from RNAcentral.
AUUGAACGCUGGCGGCAUGCUUUACACAUGCAAGUCGAACGGUAACAGGCCUUCGGGUGCUGACGAGUGGCGAACGGGUGAGUAAUGCAUCGGAACGUGCCCAGAGGUGGGGGAUAACGCAGCGAAAGCUGUGCUAAUACCGCAUGUGAUCUGAGGAUGAAAGCGGGGGACCAGGCAGCAAUGUUUGGCCUCGCGCCUUUGGAGCGGCCGAUGUCAGAUUAGGUAGUUGGUGGGGUAAAGGCCUACCAAGCCGACGAUCUGUAGCUGGUCUGAGAGGACGACCAGCCACACUGGGACUGAGACACGGCCCAGACUCCUACGGGAGGCAGCAGUGGGGAAUUUUGGACAAUGGGCGCAAGCCUGAUCCAGCAAUGCCGCGUGCGGGAAGAAGGCCUUCGGGUGGUAAACCGCUUUUGUACGGAACGAAAAGGCUCUGGCUAAUACCUGGGGCUGAUGACGGUACCGUAAGAAUAAGCACCGGCUAACUACGU